Molecule: transfer RNA, 73 nt
Organism: Conidiobolus coronatus NRRL 28638
Lineage: Eukaryota; Fungi; Entomophthoromycota; Entomophthoromycetes; Entomophthorales; Conidiobolaceae
Rfam family: tRNA
About the family: Transfer RNA (tRNA) molecules are approximately 80 nucleotides in length. Their secondary structure includes four short double-helical elements and three loops (D, anti-codon, and T loops).
Source: Rfam
UUGGAUGUAGCCUAAUGGGUAAGGUAUCAUAAUUUGAGUAUGAGGUAUGUGGGUUCAAAUCCCUCCGUCCAAU